UGUCCACUCUUUUGAGAGGAGACAGUUAUGAAACGUGAGUAGAAGGGUCGAGUGUAAAAACCUUGACGUGAAGCAAUUGGAGGGCAAGUUUUGGUGCCAGCAGCCGCGGUAAUUCCAACUCCAAGAGUGUCUAUGGUGGAUGCUGCAGUUAAAGGGUCCGUAGUCGUAGAUGCAAUUAAAAGGUGGUGUUAAAAGCCAUUGAGUUUGUUGAGAGUAGCGGAACGGAUAGGGAGCAUGGUAUAGGUGGGCAAAGAAUGAAAUCUCAAGACCCCACCUGGACCAACGGAGGCGAAAGCGAUGCUCUUAGACGUAUCUGGGGAUCAAGGACGAAGGCUAGAGUAUCGAAAGUGAUUAGACACCGCUGUAGUUCUAGCAGUAAACUAUGCCGACAAUGCUGGGUGUUGCGAGAGCGA
Molecule: ribosomal RNA, 413 nt
Filed under: uncultured Enterocytozoonidae
Lineage: Eukaryota; Fungi; Microsporidia
Description: partial small subunit ribosomal RNA
Rfam family: Microsporidia small subunit ribosomal RNA
Source: RNAcentral